RNAcentral lists this ribosomal RNA (253 nucleotides) under uncultured bacterium. RNAcentral describes it as "partial 16S ribosomal RNA". It matches the Rfam family "Bacterial small subunit ribosomal RNA", at positions 524 to 776 of the family's 1533-position model. The record is from RNAcentral.
UACGAAGGGGGCUAGCGUUGCUCGGAAUCACUGGGCGUAAAGCGCACGUAGGCGGAUCUUUAAGUCAGGGGUGAAAUCCCGGAGCUCAACUCCGGAACUGCCUCUGAUACAGCACGUCUUGAGUCCGGAAGAGGUGGGUGGAAUUCCUAGUGUAGAGGUGAAAUUCGUAGAUAUUAGGAAGAACACCGGUGGCGAAGGCGGCCCACUGGUCCGGUACUGACGCUGAGGUGCGAAAGCGUGGGGAGCAAACAGG